AUUGAACGCUGGCGGCAUGCCUUACACAUGCAAGUCGAACGGCAGCACGGGGGCAACCCUGGUGGCGAGUGGCGAACGGGUGAGUAACAUAUCGGAACGUGCCCUGGAGUGGGGGAUAACUAGUCGAAAGAUUAGCUAAUACCGCAUACGAUCUACGGAUGAGAGUGGGGGAUCGCAAGACCUCAUGCUCGUGGAGCGGCCGAUAUCUGAUUAGCUAGUUGGUGGGGUAAAGGCCUACCAAGGCAUCGAUCAGUAGCUGGUCUGAGAGGACGACCAGCCACACUGGGACUGAGACACGGCCCAGACUCCUACGGGAGGCAGCAGUGGGGAAUUUUGGACAAUGGGCGCAAGCCUGAUCCAGCAAUGCCGCGUGAGUGAAGAAGGCCUUCGGGUUGUAAAGCUCUUUUGUCAGGGAAGAAACGGUGAGGGCUAAUAUCCUUUGCUAAUGACGGUACCUGAAGAAUAAGCACCGGCUAACUACGUGCCAGCAGCCGCGGUAAUACGCAGGGUGCAAGCGUUAAUCGGAAUUACUGGGCGUAAAGCGUGCGCAGGCGGUUGUGCAAGACCGAUGUGAAAUCCCCGGGCUUAACCUGGGAAUGGCAUUGGUGACUGCACGGCUAGAGUGUGUCAGAGGGGGGUAGAAUUCCACGUGUAGCAGUGAAAUGCGUAGAGAUGUGGAGGAAUACCGAUGGCGAAGGCAGCCCCCUGGGAUAACACUGACGCUCAUGCACGAAAGCGUGGGGAGCAAACAGGAUUAGAUACCCUGGUAGUCCACGCCCUAAACGAUGUCAACUAGUUGUCGGGUCUUAAUUGACUUGGUAACGCAGCUAACGCGUGAAGUUGACCGCCUGGGGAGUACGGUCGCAAGAUUAAAACUCAAAGGAAUUGACGGGGACCCGCACAAGCGGUGGAUGAUGUGGAUUAAUUCGAUGCAACGCGAAAAACCUUACCUACCCUUGACAUGGCAGGAAUCCCGGAGAGAUUCGGGAGUGCUCGAAAGAGAACCUGCACACAGGUGCUGCAUGGCUGUCGUCAGCUCGUGUCGUGAGAUGUUGGGUUAAGUCCCGCAACGAGCGCAACCCUUGUCAUUAGUUGCUACGAAAGGGCACUCUAAUGAGACUGCCGGUGACAAACCGGAGGAAGGUGGGGAUGACGUCAAGUCCUCAUGGCCCUUAUGGGUAGGGCUUCACACGUCAUACAAUGGUACAUACAGAGGGCCGCCAACCCGCGAGGGGGAGCUAAUCCCAGAAAGUGUAUCGUAGUCCGGAUUGCAGUCUGCAACUCGACUGCAUGAAGUUGGAAUCGCUAGUAAUCGCGGAUCAGCAUGUCGCGGUGAAUACGUUCCCGGGUCU
This 1352-nucleotide ribosomal RNA is filed under the name uncultured bacterium. Its description in RNAcentral is "bacterial SSU rRNA". It matches the Rfam family "Bacterial small subunit ribosomal RNA", at positions 28 to 1381 of the family's 1533-position model. The record is from RNAcentral.